This 84-nucleotide small RNA is filed under the name Olleya aquimaris. Its description in RNAcentral is "Olleya sp. L-4 Flavo-1 RNA". It matches the Rfam family "Flavo-1 RNA". The record is from Rfam by way of RNAcentral. Lineage: Bacteria; Pseudomonadati; Bacteroidota; Flavobacteriia; Flavobacteriales; Flavobacteriaceae.
GGUUAGUGCGUUAGCGAUAGUAGCGACAUCCUUUUUUGUGCGCGCUUAUGCGCAAAAAAGAUAUAGUGGAUAGCGCGACCUUUA